RNAcentral lists this non-coding RNA (45 nucleotides) under Schistosoma curassoni. The record is from RNAcentral. Lineage: Eukaryota; Metazoa; Platyhelminthes; Trematoda; Strigeidida; Schistosomatidae.
AUCCGGCUGCCGCAUCCAAAAUAGGAUGAAAUGCGCGUCCUGGAU